GAUAACGCUCGUAUACAAUAUUAAAGUGUUUCAACAUAUAUAAUGACAUAUAUAUAUAUGUGAUAUCGUGCCAUGCAUAUAUAUAUAUAUGUUUUUAUACCCCUGUCAGUUCUAAACCUAAUAAUGACAUAAUAAGAAGUAAAAAACAUAAGUACCUUAAUUUUUUUGACUUUUGAAUCAACAUAGUAAUUAAACACUGAAACCCUAAACUUUAAACUCUAAACCCUAAACGCUAUAAACCCUAAAUCCAAAACACAAAAAAACCAUACAUCGUAA
This 276-nucleotide long non-coding RNA is filed under the name Gossypium raimondii (Peruvian cotton). RNAcentral describes it as "long non-coding RNA (GRAI_LNC011257)". The record is from RNAcentral. Lineage: Eukaryota; Viridiplantae; Streptophyta; Magnoliopsida; Malvales; Malvaceae.